RNAcentral lists this unclassified non-coding RNA (161 nucleotides) under uncultured Mycogone. Its description in RNAcentral is "sequence contains ITS1". Lineage: Eukaryota; Fungi; Ascomycota; Sordariomycetes; Hypocreales; Hypocreaceae. The record is from RNAcentral.
CCGAGUUUACAACUCCCAACCCUAUGUGAACCUUACCAUUCUGUUGCUUCGGCGGGAUCGUCCCGGGUGCGGUCGAAAGGCCAGCCCCGGAUCAAGGCGCCCGCCGGGGACCUAAACUCUUAUCUUAUAGCGUACCUUCUGAUUAAAAAGACAAACAGUCA